AUUGAACGCUGGCGGCAGGCCUAACACAUGCAAGUCGAGCGGAUGAAGGGAGCUUGCUCCUGGAUUCAGCGGCGGACGGGUGAGUAAUGCCUAGGAAUCUGCCUGGUAGUGGGGGAUAACGUCCGGAAACGGGCGCUAAUACCGCAUACGUCCUGAGGGCGACAGUGGGGGAUCUUCGGACCUCACGCUAUCAGAUGAGCCUAGGUCGGAGUAGCUAGUUGGUGGGGUAAAGGCCUACCAAGGCGACGAUCCGUAACUGGUCUGAGAGGAUGAUCAGUCACACUGGAACUGAGACACGGUCCAGACCCCUACGGGAGGCAGCAGCGGGGAAUAUUGGACAAUGGGCGAAAGCCUGAUCCAGCCAUGCCGCGUGUGUGAAGAAGGGCUUCGGAUUGUAAAGCACUUUAAGUUGGGAGUAAGGGCAGUAAGUUAAUACCUUGCUGUUUGGACGUUACCAACAGAAUAAGCACCGGCAAACUUCGU
RNAcentral lists this ribosomal RNA (483 nucleotides) under uncultured bacterium. Its description in RNAcentral is "partial 16S ribosomal RNA". It matches the Rfam family "Bacterial small subunit ribosomal RNA", at positions 30 to 506 of the family's 1533-position model. The record is from RNAcentral.